UUCCUCUAUUGUUUCCAGAGCAUCACAUGUCAACACAUAGAUAUUUACCGGUAUGGACAUACCACAGGUAGAGGAAUAACACACGCACAGUACUAACAGAAGUUGCGGUAUAUGUGAAAUCCUCCCAAUGUGCGGUCAUGCUCACAGUUUGAAUUAAUGAAAGGCUAAUAUAAAGCGGGAGGCGUUUAGAGCGCGAAAACAUAAUGAAAUCAGCCCUAAGAAAUAUUUAAUAAUGCUCGAAAAUAAAAUGCUAAAACAACAAAAUAUGGAGUCAUAUUCAUAGUACACAGAUAAUUACUUAAAGCGCUUAUUCUGUUUAACGUCGUUAUGAACUGCUAAGAAAAUAUUAAAGUUUUGAGAAAGUGUCGGUACAGAAAGGCCGAAGAAUAGCAAAGAAGAACGUUUAUUUCUAUGCAUAGUAACGACAGAUAAAGUGGACAUUUUAAUUUUAAGAUGUGUUUGUUAAGGGAUUGCAGGAAUAUGAGGAGUCAUUUGUUUUAUUAUAAAAAUCUAAAUUUAAAUUAAAUUUAAUUUAAAUAAAACUUUUUUCGACCCUUUGUGUGCAUUUGUAGUAUGUGUGUGUGCAUGGGUGUAUCUCACCUGCCCUAUUGUCUGAUCAUGUGACUCUCAGAUCGUUAACACACACGCGCACGCAGCGUGCGUUAUCCCUGACAGCGCCCCGGCGACGCUCCUGCUUGUCUCCCUUGUGUGACGAGAGUAACGCGCGCGCGUCCCCUGGCAACAGCCAGUCGCCGUGAGAAUGGAACAGCCGGCAGACGAUUUCGGCGGCCAUUUAACCGCGCGUCGGCUGCACCUCAGACAGCGGUCUGCCUCGAGUGCCCGAGCAACAGAUACGACUGCACGAUGAGGCGACCUUAGUCUCAGGCGAUGUUCUUGUCUUCCUUGGCAGUAAUGUGGCCUGGGAUUGAAUAGUGCUGACGUAUUGGAUGAGACAUCUUAGAGAAAGCCACGUGGUGUGUCUGUGUCCAGCGGUCGUUCUGGAGGGAAUGCUUUUCAAAUAAUCGUCUGAAUGAAGAGUGCCAACAAGUGUGCGCAGUCUUGACACUUUUGCUUUGAGGUUAACCCCUUGUUGUGAUGAUUUCCGUUAUCCCUGAUUGAAUAUUAGUGAUUCAUCGAAGUCAUUCACUCGGCUUUCUGCUGUCCCAGAAGGAUUUGUACCCUACGAGACAAUUUAGGCAAGAUCCACAGAGAUAAGAGCUUGGAUAGUCUUCAGUUUGAACCGUUUCCAAGACAACGCGCCAGGAAGACGACAAGCCGUGGUCAGCCUUCUUGUGAGAAGGGGAGAAACAUCAGCAACACUCUACACUCCCCCUCCCUACCACCCCGAAUGUGUGGCCUUCGCGAGCGCGCACUCAGAGGCAAGGCAUGCUGAAGAAGACUUCGUAAAAGGUCAGUUGCUUCCUGCUGUUGUUGUAUUUCUCCCCAUCCAAAGGACAACGAUUGUAGCACGGCUACUUUGCAUGACCUUUUCGUUUUUUAGAACAGUAAAGCUCGUUUCCAGUGAUGUAUGUCUUCUUUUCUAUGUCUGUGGCCAUUGCGAAAUCAACAGACUCCACAAACCGGGGAUGUAACAGUGUUCAGAGCUAGAAAAGCGAUCAGGGUUAGUUGUGAGACAACCAUUGUGCAGGCUUGUGCUAAACCCUAUACCCCAUUGUCUGAUUUUUAUUUGUUUGUGCAUUUCUUCUUCUUGUGCUCUUUUGCAUU
This 1725-nucleotide long non-coding RNA is filed under the name Pomacea canaliculata. RNAcentral's name for it is "uncharacterized LOC112560862, transcript variant X1". Lineage: Eukaryota; Metazoa; Mollusca; Gastropoda; Architaenioglossa; Ampullariidae. The record is from RNAcentral.